AAUUUGCCACUGAAGUUUAUUUUUAAAAGGGAAAACGUCGACAAAACACUAAAAGAACAAAAAUAUGGUCAUCGCAACCAAAUUUAGGUUCGAGAGUCGAUUAUGCGCGUGAAAGAUAUUAGCACUUUACGACAUACAUGGUAAACAAUAUUUACCUUUAAUUAGUUUUACGAAUAAAAGUUUUGGCCUAAAGUGAUCGAUUUCUCCUAAUUAUUACGAUAUAUUUA
This 227-nucleotide long non-coding RNA is filed under the name Lathyrus oleraceus (garden pea). RNAcentral describes it as "Pisum sativum (pea) long non-coding RNA (PSAT_LNC026200)". Lineage: Eukaryota; Viridiplantae; Streptophyta; Magnoliopsida; Fabales; Fabaceae. The record is from RNAcentral.